Zonotrichia leucophrys gambelii is the source of this 426-nucleotide long non-coding RNA. RefSeq lists it as uncharacterized. The transcript has 3 exons. The record is from RefSeq and is a predicted model, not a curated record. Lineage: Eukaryota; Metazoa; Chordata; Aves; Passeriformes; Passerellidae.
AGUUGGGUGAUUUGUGAAGAACAAAGAGUCAGUGCUCUGAGAGCUGCCCAUGAGAAACACCAAGCAGGCGCUGUGCUGUUGAUGCCACCAAGGCCACUCACCUGAGGACAGGUUCAGCCUGGAGCCUCUCAGAACCUGAGAAAAAAGGCAAACUCGAUUCUUGAACCUGCUGAAAGAAGUCCCAGACUGUUUGGAUGGUGGGGAUCAUCGGGCUGUGCUCAGCAGGGAGCUCUGAUUCAUCAGCACCAGGGUUUCCCCUCAGCUCUCUGCCUACAUCUUCUGCUCAGCUUGGCAGGGACAUUGUCAGAGAAUAAAAGGCUUCUUCCUCGUGUCAAAGGGCUGGCAUUCAUCAAAAUGAUAAUACUUUUUACCUAGAGCACCUUUUAGAUGAGGUUCAUGAAGCCUGUAAAGAUGAUGAUAAAGAGA